Triticum aestivum (bread wheat) is the source of this 822-nucleotide long non-coding RNA. RefSeq lists it as uncharacterized. The record is from RefSeq and is a predicted model, not a curated record. The transcript has 3 exons. Lineage: Eukaryota; Viridiplantae; Streptophyta; Magnoliopsida; Poales; Poaceae.
UCCAAUCUGUGAUGCCCCAAGCUUACACGAACAGUUAGGGAUAGGGCCAUAGGGUGCUGCGGCGGCGGACCUCGCCGUGUGCUGCUCCGCGACUUCACCGGCGGCUACGGUGCGACCUCGCUGUUUUCCAACGUACAACAGACAACCCGUCCCAUCCCCGCGCCGCUAUUCUCCCACCUCGGCGCCACCCCCUCACCUCACCUAGCACGUACCUCCGCCAUCCGCCGAUGCCUAGAUCCGCCAUCAGCCGACACCGUAGAAGAGAAAAUCGGCCUUCAGGUGUAAAUAAAGGAACUAAAUUCCUACAAAUUUAGCAUUUUUUGCUAUGUGUCAUGACAUGCCUUGAUGCAUUGCUAAAUAUAUGUUGUUGCACUCAGGAAAAAGAGCAAGUAGCGUCUACAAAGGUUCAACAUCAGCAAAUUGUUCUGAUUACCAAGACGGACAUGACAACUCAAACAAUAUUUAUAUAUGAUCGAUUAAAACAUGUUGAAUAUGUUUGCAAAAAAAAUUCACUUGAACUUGCUUGAUAUUUUGCAGCACAGUGCAACCCAUUGGAGCAGACAUCCUUUACUUUCCAGUAAAUAAUGGAUGAAAAAGUGCCUUCGUUCAUGUGAUAUAUUGACCUAGUUCAAGUACACCUGGUUGAAUAUGUUGGUCCAAUAUAUGUAUACCCGCUAAUUUGCUAUGCCUUGGUUGUAAAUAUUGGGAUGCAACUCGAGUUAUGUGUUUCAUGGUAGAUUUGUGUGUUUUAUCACGCAUGUCGUUCAUGAUAUUGUUGUUGUACUAUGAGCUUUGAAAUGGCGAGAUGGUUGUUGUGUUGCC